GAUGAACGCUAGCUACAGGCUUAACACAUGCAAGUCGAGGGGAAACGACAUCGAAAGCUUGCUUUUGAUGGGCGUCGACCGGCGCACGGGUGAGUAACGCGUAUCCAACCUGCCCAUCACUUGGGAAUAACCUUGCGAAAGUAAGACUAAUACCCAAUGAUAUCCCACGAAGGCAUCGGAAUGGGAUUAAAGAUUUAUCGGUGAUGGAUGGGGAUGCGUCUGAUUAGCUUGUUGGCGGGGUAACGGCCCACCAAGGCAACGAUCAGUAGGGGUUCUGAGAGGAAGGUCCCCCACAUUGGAACUGAGACACGGUCCAAACUCCUACGGGAGGCAGCAGUGAGGGAUAUUGGUCAAUGGGCGAGAGCCUGAACCAGCCAAGUAGCGUGCAGGAAGACGGCCCUAUGGGUUGUAAACUGCUUUUAUAAGGGAAUAAAGUGGGUCACGUGUGACUUUUUGCAUGUACCUUAUGAAUAAGGACCGGCUAAUUCCGUG
Molecule: ribosomal RNA, 492 nt
Filed under: uncultured bacterium
Lineage: Bacteria
Description: partial 16S ribosomal RNA
Rfam family: Bacterial small subunit ribosomal RNA
Source: RNAcentral